UUUUGGUUUUGUAAUUGGAAUGAGUUAAGUAUAAACCCCUUUACAAGUAUCAAUUGGAGGGCAAGUCUGGUGCCAGCAGCCGCGGUAAUUCCAGCUCCAAUAGCGUAUAUUAAAGUUGUUGCAGUUAAAAAGCUCGUAGUUGGAUUUCUGUUAAUAAUUUAUAUAAAAUAUUUUGAUGAAUAUUUAUAUAAUAUUAACAUAAUUCAUAUUACUAUUUUUUUUUUUAGUAUAUGAAAUUUUACUU
RNAcentral lists this ribosomal RNA (244 nucleotides) under Cryptosporidium meleagridis. RNAcentral's name for it is "partial small subunit ribosomal RNA". It matches the Rfam family "Eukaryotic small subunit ribosomal RNA", at positions 495 to 757 of the family's 1831-position model. Lineage: Eukaryota; Apicomplexa; Conoidasida; Eucoccidiorida; Cryptosporidiidae. The record is from RNAcentral.